AGUCUGUGACGUGACUGC
This 18-nucleotide unclassified non-coding RNA is filed under the name Chlamydomonas reinhardtii. Its description in RNAcentral is "small RNA Cre_0628". Lineage: Eukaryota; Viridiplantae; Chlorophyta; Chlorophyceae; Chlamydomonadales; Chlamydomonadaceae. The record is from RNAcentral.